UACGGAAGGCAGCAGUGGGGAAUAUUGCACAAUGGGCGAAAGCCUGAUGCAGCUAUGCCGCGUGUAUGAAGAAGGCCUUAGGGUUGUAAAGUACUUUCAUCGGGGAGGAAAAAACAAAACUAAUAAUUUUAUUUCUUGACGUUACCCGAAAAAGAAGCACCGGCUAACUCCGUGCCAGCAGCCGCGGUAAUACGGAGGGUGCUAGCGUUAAUCAGAAUUACUGGGCGUAAAGAGCACGUAGGUGGUUUUUUUUAAGUCAGAUGUGAAAUCCCUGGGCUUAACCUAGGAACUGCAUUUUGAAACUGAAAUACUAGAGUAUCGUAGAGGGAGGUAGAAUUCUAGGUGUAGCGGUGAAAUGCGUAGAUAUCUGGAGGAAUACCUGUGGCGAAAGCGGCCUCCUAAACGAAUACUGACACUGAGGUGCGAAAGCGUGGGGAGCAAACAGGGAUUAGAUACC
RNAcentral lists this ribosomal RNA (457 nucleotides) under uncultured bacterium. RNAcentral describes it as "bacterial SSU rRNA". It matches the Rfam family "Bacterial small subunit ribosomal RNA", at positions 340 to 786 of the family's 1533-position model. The record is from RNAcentral.